RNAcentral lists this ribosomal RNA (252 nucleotides) under uncultured bacterium. Its description in RNAcentral is "partial 16S ribosomal RNA". It matches the Rfam family "Bacterial small subunit ribosomal RNA", at positions 796 to 1041 of the family's 1533-position model. The record is from RNAcentral.
CUAGCCGUAAACGAUGGAUACUAGGUGUUAGUGGUAUCGACCCCACUAGUGCCGCAGCUAACGCAAUAAGUAUCCCGCCUGGGGAGUACGGCCGCAAGGUUGAAACUCAAAGGAAUUGACGGGGGCCCGCACAAGCGGUGGAGCAUGUGGUUUAAUUCGUCAUUAACCGAAGAACCUUACCAGGGUUUGACAUGUAGGGAAGUCGGGUGAAAGCCUGAUGUGCCCCCAAAAGGGGAGCCCUAACACAGGUGU